Molecule: unclassified non-coding RNA, 2501 nt
Filed under: Eurytemora carolleeae
Lineage: Eukaryota; Metazoa; Arthropoda; Copepoda; Calanoida; Temoridae
Description: zinc finger protein 729
Source: RNAcentral
AGAAAAUAUUUUUUUUGAAAAAUGGUUAUACUGGUUCUAAAAUGAAGAUUUGGAUCUGGAGUGUAUGAGGUGAAAUGACCAGGAAUUCUAGAAUAAUGGUGGGACAUUCUAGAACUAUGGUGGAGCAUUCUGGAACAAUGGCGGAGCAUUCUGGAACAAUGGCGGAGCAUUCUGGAACAAUGGCGGAGCAUUCUGGGACAAUGGUGGAGAAUUCUAGAUUAUUGGAGGAAAAUGGACUCUUUGAAGAGCAUGGUGAUGGCGAGGAAGCUUACUAUAUUGCUGAUGAUGGCAGACUUUUUGCUCUCUCUCAGAAUAUUCCUCUUGCUGCUGACUCUAGGAUCCAUGAGAUGCGUGAAAUCGGUCUCCGAACCUCUAUAGAGGACGGCCUUCAACCCGUCCACAGUUUACAAGUCUCCCAACCCUCAGAGGGCACUGGGCACAAGGAAAUCCGCCAGAUUCUCCUGCAGGGAUCAGAGAUGGUCCAAGCUAUCCAUGAAAUCCCCGGAAUCCAAGAAGUCCGUGAAAAUCCAUUUUCCGCCUCGGUUAAUAACGAAGGAAUGCCCGGGAUUCAGUUGCCAACUGUUGGAGUUCUAGAAGAUAUAGAGACCGGCACAUUUACUCAUGCUCAGGUUGCGGAUAAGCUUAAUGGAAAUAAUAUAACUAUUCCUCUGUCUACGGAUUCUACAGAUCAAUUCUAUUUUCUGGACAACAAUAAGAAAAUGGCAACCCUGGAGGAUUUUGUCGAGGUGUUCACAAUAUACAAGUGUAAAGGCUGUGAUUUUACCAGUGGUGAAAGAGAUGCACUUCAUUCUCACAUUGAGACUACUCAUUUGAGUUCUGCUCCUGAGUCCAGUACUCAAAAGACCCUGGAGCAGUUUCCUCCGGACGAACACAACCCAGUAGGUUCGGAGAACGUAGAGAACCCAGAACUUAACGCUAUGCUUAUCAUAUCUGACGUUAAUAAUAUCAAGUAUAACAUGGAGAGCAGGACGGAGACUAUGAUCCUGGAUGAGCUUCCAGCUGAGAGAUCUAGCUCCUACCCUUUCUUCAAGUUCUUCCUGGUCAAGGAGCAGAAAGAGAUAUUUAUUUGUACACGUUGCAGUGUUUGUAUGGCUUCCGAGGAAAAAAUGAAGAUUCACUCUGCUCGGGAUGGAUGUACGGACUCCAAGUGUAAUAACUGCGGUGUACGGUUCAAUACACAGUCAGAGUACAACAAUCAUAUUAUCAAGUGCAAGGUUGCUGUUUUCAAGAUCAAAGAUAAACCCCCACCAGUUACAGGGAACCAGGAGGACAGGAAUACAAUUCUCUCCAGUAUACCAGAAGAGCAGGAGGGUGAUGAUAUAUCUCUAGUAGAUCAGUUCUAUAAGGUUGCAGAUACUGGUCCGGAGAAAGGAGGAGAGGACGAGUAUAUAGGAGAGGAAUACAAGAUCUCCAGGUUGAGAAGGAACAGGACCAAUCUAGAAGUGGAUGGAGAGAAUAGGGUUUGGGUCUGCUCAACUAAAAGCUGUCAUGCUAUCUUCAAGGAGGAGAAAAACCUGGACUACCACAUCUCAUGUCACAAGGAAGACUGCAUGGAGUGCCAAGAGUGCAAGAAAGAGUUUGCCAGGUGGCCUGAUCUCUUCCAGCAUCUGUGGCGUGAGCAUGAGAAGGAUUGUGAUAUGUAUCAAUGUAUCCAGUGUAUGACCUACAAGACCAGCACUGUCAACGCCCUGGAGAAGCAUUGUCAGACCCACGCCAAUCUGAAACUGUACCAGUGUGAUAUCUGCUACAAGGGGUUCAACCAGCAGGUUCAGCUCACCAACCACUCGGUCCGACAUCUCAGAGAGUCCAUGGUUGAGCUCCCCAACUGGGCUACACCCAAGCGGUGUGAGAUCUGCCAGAAAGUGUGCUCUGACAGUAAAAGUUUGAAGAAGCAUGUGCAGGCAGUGCACUCGAAGCUGAAGCCGUAUAUCUGUCAGAUCUGUGGGUAUAAAACUGCCCGGAAAGGGAAUCUUCUGCUUCAUGUUAGGCAGCACUCGGGGGAGAAACCUUAUAGUUGUGAUGAGUGUAGUUACAGGACGGGAGAUCAUAAUUCACUCAGGCGUCACAAGAAAAUACAUGCUGGAGAUAAACCAAACAAAUGUCAUUUAUGUUCAUUUUCAACCAUACAAUCCAGUAACUUGAAGGCUCAUCUUCUCAACAAACAUCAUCUUACUCCAGACGGAAAGAAAGUAGAGCCGCCAUCCAAGAAAAGAGUGAUCUCGACGUCUAAAGAGAAAGGUCGAGCGGAGAAACGAGGACAAGAACUAACACUCUCGGAGAAACCUAGAAGAGAUCUCACUCUUACAGACUCUCUAGACUCAUUACUGGAGAUGUCGGAGAGGAAUGGGAUAAAUCUUCUCUCUGAUACAUCCUAGGCAUUCGCUCUACCUAUUACAAUUUAAAAUUUCACUCCUUAUCAGUAUUUAAAGUCCCUUUAAUGUGAUGUAUACUAAAUACACGAGUUUAAAGAUGAAAUAAAU